Molecule: long non-coding RNA, 26631 nt
Filed under: Marmota monax (woodchuck)
Lineage: Eukaryota; Metazoa; Chordata; Mammalia; Rodentia; Sciuridae
Source: RNAcentral
CCAGAGUUACCUGAGGAGGGGUGAACAGCAGUCAUGGCUCAAUUUGCCCAGGUUCUAGCUGAAAUAGGUGACUUUGGUCGCUUCCAGGUACAGUUGACGAUCCUGAUGAGUAUCCCCAACUUCCUGUCCCCCUUCUAUAUGUUUAGCCAGGUCUUCAUGGUCCUGGAUGAGGCCCACUACUGUUCAGUGGCCUGGGUCAAGAACCACACUCUCAACCUGAGUGCAGCUGAGCAACUGACACUGAGCGUGCCUCUGGAUGCUGAGGGCAGACCUGAGUCCUGCCUCAUGUUCCGGCCACCCCCCAAUAACGCCAGCCUGGAGGACAUCCUCAGCCACCGCUUCAAUGAGACACAGCCUUGUGAGACCAGCUGGCACUAUCCUGAGGACAAGCCCCGAUCGCUGUUGAACGAGGUAAGGCUGGCCUUGUGCCUAUCUGUCCACUUGUCUUGGUCCCUCUGCCUGACCCUGCACUGACUGUUGCUGUCUCUGUAACUCUUCCUGUGUGGUUGACCAUUUUUAUGCCUGUUUUACCUUUUGCAGUCACCUCUUUUCUCUUUGUCCUCUGCCUGUUGGUCCAUCUAGUCUCUAUUUUCUCCGUAUGGUCUGCCUGCCCAGCUCUCUGUUCAGUUUUGCCUGUCCUUUUGUCUCCAAGCUUGUCCUUCUGUCUGUCUGCCCAGGCACCUGCCUUUAUGCCUGUGCCCUGUUUUCCUGUUCUGAUGCUGCCUCUCUCUACCCCGUGUUCCUAGCUGUCUAUUUCCCCUUGUCUUUCGGCUCACCCUUGCACGUCGGCCUGAUUACCUGUCCUGUGCUUUCCUAACUCUUAGAUUGUUGCUUUCUCUGUCCACUUGUUUUCCAUCCUGCUUGCUUGACUUGGCUUCCUACUUUCCGGCUUCUCUCUGUAGGUCCCUGCCUCUGGGAUGCUGGAGAACACUCUCGACUCUUAAGACUCAUCCUGUGGAUAAUUAAGCACUUGCUCCUACUAACUUCAUUCUCUUAGGAGAGACUUGGGUACAUUUACAGAAAGAUGCUCCCUCUAGCCACUUCGGAGCAAGAGGGGCCCUCAGAAACAUCUAGCUCCUUCCUGUGUGGCUUCCCGGGUGGUAAGGUUUAGACACAGAGUCCCUCUCCAAGGACCUCUGGUGGUCAGGGAAGACCUGGACCCCUUGUACUGGAGUAGAGGGCUAGGUGGCCUCUGAGACCCAGAAUUUGCUUUCUCCUGAAGACAACUUUCUAAAUGAAGUGUUAAUGUGAGCUGGGCAACAAGAUGCUCAAAAAUGUUGCCAGAGAAGAGUUUUUUUUGCAGAAAGAGUAUCAAAAGAAAGGCCUGGCAGCCAGAAACAGGUGGUUUUCAAGGUGUAGGUAACUUGGUGUGCCUGGAAUAUGGGUGGUAAAUGUAAACUAGGAUUUGUAGGGGAUAUUUUCAAGGAUCUGGCACCUGUUUUGCUGUUGCUAUUUGUUAAAAAGUAACUUCCCCUUUAAAAAACCAGCAAAUGACAAACAAAUUUUCUUGAUUGCUACCUGAGUUUCAUCAAGCACUGGAUCUACUCAAGGGGGAAAAGAAAAGGCACCUGUCAAGGAAUGUUAUAGUUUGGAUCUCCAAUGUCCCCCAAGGCUCAUGCUUUGAAGACCUGGCCCCCAAUGCAGUUCAGAGGUAUAACUUUGGGGAAGUGAUUGGGUCAUGAGGGUUCUAAACUCAUUAAUAUUCUAAACUCAUUAAUGUUCUAAACUCAUCAAUGUCCAUUGAUGGAUUCCUAACUAAACGACUCCUAUGGAAUGGUACAAACUGUAGGAAGUGGGACCUAGUAGAAGGGAGUGGGUCCUUGGGGGCAUGCCUUAGGGAUCAAGAAAUAAAUGAGUUUGCUCCACCACAUGACCCUUAUCAGAACACUCUGCCUCACUACAAGCCCAUAGCCAUGAGUCCAAAUGACUGAAACCAUGAGCCACAAUAAAUGUUUCCUCCUUUAAGUUGAUUUCCUCAGGUAUUUUGUCAUAGCAGAUGGAAAAUUGACUAACAUGAGGAAUAUAUUAAUAAAUGACAGCACACACCUGAAGCCCUUCUUUAGCUACAGGAGGCUCCAGGGCAACUAAUAUUACUGUGUCUAACACAUUGAUUAGGCCUUUCCAUGUGAGUGAGAAUACCCCAUUUGACAGCCCUUUGGUCAAGGACAGCUUUUCUGAAGUCUUCUAUUUGCUCUUGGCAAAUUUCUCAAUAGGAGAGGGGUCAUCUCUGAGAUCAAUCUGUGUCUCAACAAGCAAGAUGGUAGAUGCAUUAUCUCAGGCACCCCAUUUUCUUUUACUUCUAGUGAGGUCAGAGACCCCUGAAAAACAGAAAAGAAACACUUUCAUUUGUGGAUGUUCAACUGCCAUAAUCUCUCAUAAUUGGCUUGUCCUACAGUGUCAAAAAGGUCAAGAGUCUAUGGCUCUCCACCAAUCCGGUAACUGCAUACUUUUCAAAAACAGCACAUACUCAGGUGGAGAUUUGUUUGUUGUGUUGGAGUCAAGGUUCCCAAUGGCACCAUGGCUCCCAGCAACACACUCAGUGGUCUGCCUCACUGAAAUUGUUUUGUAUCCACUUGAUCCGACGUGCACAGACCUGAAACUGACUUCAGCUUCUUCAACAACCUGUGGGCAGCACUCAGAGGCCUCAAUUCAGCCUCAGUCAGCAGCCUAGUCCAUGUUGGCUGGGUUGGGCCUUGGACCUCUUACCCUCCCACUUCCAACCCUUCCAAGAACUGUGACUCUCAAGGGAAUGUACAACAUUGGGACUUUGUGACCUGUGCCACAGGACAAUCUAAGCUUGGUUCUAGAGCAGAGCUCCCUUGGAAUGAGAUCUUCUGCUUCUGCUUUUUUUUUUUUUUUUUAAUCUAUGAAAAAGAGCUCUGCACACUGAUGCAGAAGGUCCUCUCUAAGUAGACACCCCAGUGUCCUUAGUAUAACCUGUGGCUUCAUAUUCAAACCAAAAUAAAAACCACAGUAAUCUGAAAAGAAAAAACAUGUUUCCUUAAGGCUACAUGCCCUUGAAGGUCAUAGUACCUGUCUAUUUCUUACCUUAUCAGUGUAAUAUUUCCUGGCUCUGUCCAUAUAGAACUCUGAAGGGGAGGGAAACAGACUGUCAACGAAUAGCAGAAACAGUAGCACUUUUCCUGGGAUUGUGGACAACGUUGGAAUGGCAAAGAAUGAGAAUCAGAAAAAACAGUCAUUUUUAGGGUCUGGAGGUAUAAAAAUGUCUGGCAUCUUUGAGGAAUACUCAAAAAAAGAAGUUUGGAAAUUCUUGUAGGGUUACAGGUUCAGUGCUGAAGAAUAUGGGAUUUCUGCUAGAGAUCCAAGAGGGCCUUGAAGGUUUUAGAAUAAGGAAGACAUGCUCUAGAAAUGAGGGUGGAAUUCUGCAAGUCACUGUGGCUGUCCCUGAGCAGAACCAAACACUAUUGGUGUUAGGGCUGGGGAGGUGGAUAAAUGGCAUCCCAAGUGCAGUCCUCUUCAUCUCUGCGCCAUUUGCAACAUGAUGACACUAUGUGAGUUUGGGUGUACUUUGGCACCUCUCCAAGACACAGUCUCUGCUGCUGCUGAACAAUGGACUAAGUGUGAGAAUUUAAUGAUAUAAGGGGUAUAAACUAUAGGGAGGUAGUAGAAUUGUGACUAGUGACCAGAGGUGCCAGACUUGGAAGACCCCCAUAGCUUGGCAUUCAUGCCUGCAGAACACUGUAGCCUUGAAAGCCUGGUGAGCACAGGGCUAGUGUAGCCAUCCUACAGAGCUUUACUGAGCGCAGCCUGUAUAACAGCCACCAAGCCAAGUAUGUCACAUGUGUUACUUCCUUUAAUCCUAUCAGAUGAUACAUACCAUAUAGCAGGUUUUAUCACCAACUUUGUACACGUUGGAAACCAAAACACAGAUGGAUAGACUAACAGGCUCAAGGUUACACAAAGUCACUCAGUUCUGACCCUAGAGCUUGGCAGUUGCAAGCCUUUAUUUAUUUUAAAUGGUGUGUUACUACAAAGGCAAUCCAUAGUUACUAGGCAAAAACAAACAGGAUGGACCAACAGUUAAGAGCCCUUCUGUGUCCCAUGUCAUUCUCAGGGGUAAUCAGUUAAUCAUUUGACAUCUACUGAAAGUCCUUAAAAAUUAACAGUUGUCCUUGAGAAUGGAAGUGUGAGCACAGUGGUAACUCCUGGAUUGGUUAAUUUCUUGCUAAAGAUUAUUUAACUGAUAGUGAUUGACUGGUCAUCGAUGUGCUGGCCUUGGUUCCUUUGCUCGUUUUCAGCAAACAUUCCCUUAGACUCCACUCAGUUUCAUUCCCUGUCUAGACAAUAGAAAUGUGUCAGUUACACCAGCUGCCAUCCAGCUGUGGGAUGUAGGAUUAGCUGCUAACCUCCCUCGGAGGAAAAUAACAAUAAGUCAGUGGCUGUUGUGGCAGUGAUCUGAGGUAAUACGUGUAAAGCGCUUAGCACCCUGUGCAUGGCACAAAACAGGCACUCAAAGGCAUCCUCACAGGAGGGAAGCUGGAGGAGGGUUCACAUGGCACGUUCCCCUACAAACACUCAUGUGUAAGCUGAGUUGUGUGCAAAGGGUGCAGAAUGCCCAUGAGGGAGUCAUGUGUACUGUACGUGCACAUGUAGCGGACAUGUGUGCAGAGCUGUGUGGAUCCACGUAUUUUUUCCACUUCAUUUCCUAGACUCUGGAUUAGGCUGUCUCUAAGUCUCCAGGUGGGUUGGCAGCUUUUGCCCAGAUGUAUCUCCCACCCCGCCCUCCCACUAUGUGUAUAUGUUCCUCUGUCCCAGUCAGGUGUGUGUGAAUGUUCCUUAUUGCCUGUGUUUGGUGAGUGUUUCAGGGGAUUUUGCAGCCAGAUGAGAAAAUUUGGAGAGGCCCAAGUGGGUCACAGGGAUGCCUGAGCUGAGGGGAAGAGACCCUACUUACUUGUCAGGAUGCAACCAUCAGUGGUAGAUCAUAGGCUCUCAAAUUUUAUAUCCUUAAUGUGUCAGGGAUUAUACAUGGUACCUUUAGGCUAAAAGAAAUAUGGUUCUAUGUAUUGUUAAGUCCAAAGAAUAACACGUGUUUAUGUCCUAACAAUUUACUAGUGGUUUGAAAGAAUAGUACACCUAAAUUCAAAGAAAAAACAUUUUAUUUCAUUCUUAAAGAAAGGCAACAACUUAUUAAUGGGAUGUAUGUGGCUCCUGAGCACACAUAGUUUCCAAGCCCUUGGAUACUGCUAGGUCCAUUUUUGGUUCCCUGCUGAUUUGUACAUGGUUUACUUUUUUGUUGUUGUUGUUGUUGUUCCACAGCUAUUACCCAAAACAGGACUUCACAGAGAUAUGAUGUCAUUGACAGAAAAGUAGGGUGAUCUCAUGUUGAAGUACAAACUUAUCCUGGGCUGGUAGUUUUGUGUCAUGUCAGACAGAUGUCAAAUAUCACUCUAUUUAUUUCCCUUUGAAUAUACUCUGCUGUGCCCAGUGAGUUCACUGUAGUACCCUGGAGUACCUUGGAACACAGUUUGGAAACCAUAGACACGAUCCCUAAAAGAGAGGUUAAGGGCUAGGUGGUGAAGAACUUGCCCUCAGCACUUCCCCCAGACUCACAUCUGCCUGUAUUUGCUUCAGUUCAACCUGGUGUGCCAUCGGAAGCACCUGAAGGAGACCUCACAGUCGGUGUUCAUGUCCGGACUCCUUGCUGGGGCCCUUAUCUUUGGGCCCCUCUGUGACUGGUAUGAACCUUGACCCGCUCUCCCCUGACCUAGCAUGUGUUUAGACUCCUUAGGGCCCAAGUUUCCCCGAGUGCCCCUCAUGCCGGCCUCCAGGAAGAGGCCUGGUUCCCACCACCCUCCAUGGGGCUCCCAGAGAAGGGCCACGUCUCCUCCCUCAGACAGCCCAGGUGAGGCCUGUGGGGUUUUACCUGCUUCCUCCCCAGCAGGGCCCCUUCCCUUACCACACACAGCUCUGCUUCUUUACCUCAGGAUUGGCCGCAAAGCCUCUCUCCUGGUGCAGCUGCUCCUGACUGCCUUCGUGGGCCUGGCCACGGCCUUUGUGCCCAGCUUUGAGUUCUACAUGGUCCUGCGCUUUGCUGUGGCUACCGCUGUCUCUGGAUUUAUGAUAAGCACUGUUACCCUGCGUGAGUACCCUGCCUGUGGGAGCCUUGUCAGGCACAUACCUUGCCCAUACCUGAGGCAGUCCCAGGGGAGCUUCUCGUGCAGGGACUGAGGCCUGAGGACUGAGGACAUGCUGACCUGGCAGCAUCUAGAGAGUGGCAGGGAGUGAAGGGGCAGGGUGUGGCCCAGUCUCAGCUUUUCUGUCCCCACAGUUUCAGAGUGGGUGAGCCCCUUGUGGAGGACUCGGGCUGUGAUCCUGGCCCAGUUCACCUUCGCCUUGGGACAGAUGGUGCUGGCAGGACUUGCAUAUGGUAUCCGCAACUGGAGGCUCCUUCAGAUUGCUGGCGCUGUUCCUUUUUUGCUGUUCUUCUCGUACAUCUGGUGAGGAGCCACUUGCCAGGAGCAAACCACCCCUAGGCCAGCUUUGUGGGGUGGAAUGCAGUGAUCACACUCACCUCCUGGGGCGGUCGGAGGCUGGCCUGGGAGAGGAAGUCUCCAAGUAUGGAGGUGCGGAAAGGCUAGGAAGGCUCCACGGGACUUCAGACCCCAAGGUCACAGCUGCUCCUGGUCAACAGGAUUCUGCCAGAAUCUGCUCGGUGGCUCCUCACCCAGGGGAGGAUAGAGGAAGCCAAACAACUAGUUCAGAAGGCAGCCUCAGUCAACAAGCAGAAAAUCUCCCCAGAGCUUCUGGACCAGGUACUUCCAGCAGGCCAGGGCUUGUCCCUGCCCCUGAUGCUGACCCCCAAAGAGCCUCUGCAUGACCCCUCACCCUGCAUCUUCUUUCAGUUGGCCCCAGAGAAGACAGCCUCCUCAGGGAAUGCCUUGGAUCUUUUCAGACACCCCCAUCUCCGGAAGGUGACCCUGAUUCUCAUCUGUGUCUGGUGAGUUGCCCAGGGCUCAUGCCCCUUCCUGAGGACAGUGCCAAUACGCUGCCCCUUCCAUGGCCACUUUUCCCGUGUGUCCACCAAGUGGUGGGAUGGUAGCUCUCAGGCUGUGUGCUCUCUCCCUAGCUGUGCUAGUUUCUCCUUUUGUGACACUGACCAAGGCAGGCUCGUCCUCUGGAUGUGAUGGUGUUGAACACUCAGCAAUGACAGGAACCCUUGGGUGCCUUACAGGUUUGUGGACAGUCUUGGGUACUAUGGCCUCAGCCUCCAAGUGGGAGACUUUGGCCUGGACAUCUACCUGACACAGCUAAUAUUUGGAGCCUCUGAGGUGCCUGCCCGCCUUCUCAGCAUCUUCAUGAUGGAGAAGUUGGGACGCAAGUGGAGCCAGAUGGGGACUCUGAUUCUGGGUGGCCUCAUGUGUAUUAUCAUCAUCUUUAUCCCAGAAGGUAUGACUGGAUGUUUCCCUCCCUCCCUGACCCCUGCUGCAGGGGCUGGACCAAUGGCCAUCACUCUCCUGUCGGGAGUAAAGGUUUCCCCAGGGUUUGGGUACAGAAGAGGUGAGGAGUUUGGGUGGACAAGGUGGCGGGCAGGGCCCAAGUGGUGGGUGGCCUACUUUACGUGUGGUUGACCAGCAUCUUCCAGCAGAUAUGCCCUUGGUGGUCACCGUGCUGGCCGUGGUGGGGAAGUUCGCCACUUCUGCUGGCUUCACCAUCUCCUACUUGUACACUAUUGAGCUCUUUCCCACCGUCGUCCGGUAAGAGCUGCUGAUAUGACUCUUGCUUUUCUGCUUCUAGGGCCUUGAUUUUGGCCAGUCCUCUGCUACCCUCACCACCAGCCCACAAAUAGUUAAUGAGGCUGGUUCUGGGUCCCUGACAACCAGAGCUGUAGUGCAAGUCCUCAAGUAUCUCCAGGCUGGCAGAGGACAGAUAUGGAUGUAGGCCAUGGCCUGGCCUUGUCAGGACAGGAAUGUGGGAGAAAUUUCAGAAUGAAUGACCCAGGAGAAGAAACACUCAGAUGAGGGAAGGGGUGGUUGGGAGCCAUAGCCUUUGACCUUAGAGGGGGACAGGUCACACAGGGAACAGGCAGACAGGGAGGCCUGGAGGUGGGAGGUACAUGCAGGGGCAGGAGCACUAAAUAAGCCAGAGGAGACUGGAGACCCUGCUGGCCUUUGGCUGGGGGUGUGGGGGGGUGCUACAAUUAGGGGUCUGGGGGUAGAGCUGUGGCCUCAGGUUGAGGCCUAUUCUGCUCAAAUUUUACUGGCCUUCCUGCAGGCAAACAGGCAUGGGGCUGGUGAGCAUCUUUUCAAGAGUAGGUGGCAUUCUCACACCACUUGUGCUCCUGCUGGGCGAGUACCGCAAGGAACUCCCUAUGCUCAUCUACGGCAGCUUCCCCAUCGGGGCAGGUAUACUCUGUAUUCUGCUGCCAGAGACACGUGGCCAGGCCCUGAAGGACACCAUCCAGGACCUGGAUCAGGGGCCCAGCACACGGUGAGCAGCUUUCUAGCUUUGAAGCCCAGGACCUGGGCCCCACAUCAGAGGCCCCUCUACCAGAAACCCAGACCUCCUCUUCACCAUUAGUCCAUCAUUGCUUAGAGGCCAAUAUGGAUCCCUGUGGAACCACACAUCUUACUGACCUUGGGUCAGAUUUCCCGUAUUUUCAGGAGGGAGAUGGUGAGGGGUGAUGCCAUGGGACCAAUUUCUGGACAACAACGAGAGCCUUCUUUUCCCUGCAGAUCUCCGACGGCAGUGCCCCCAGAGAAAGAAAUGGACGCUACGGGAAGAAGUUCUACUCUAGGGGUGACCACUGUGAGCAGCACAAAUUUCUGAUUGUGGUCUCUAAGAAUCAGACCACCAGCAGCAGGAAGCUGCCUACACAUCCCUUUGUGUCCCCAAGAGGACACAGAUGAGCCUUGUUUAUAGAGGAGCGCACAGGACAUGGCCCCAGCUCUCUGCCACUGCUGAGUCCAAUCCUGGAAGCAUCUGGGACAGGACUUCCCUCCUUCCUUCACCUCUCUCAUUCCCAGAGCCCCACUCCAAUGCCCCGAGUUAGGGUCUUGGGUGUGUCAUGGGCUUCAUUUGUUCUCUGAUAGUUUGUGGGGCUAUGGCAUCCUGGUCCCUCAGUCUGGAGCACCCCCUGCCCCCCAAACUCAGUCAAAUCCAGAGCAGAGCACUAGAUAGGGCCUUUCUGAGUAGUGGGAUCAAGUGGAGAGGAAAUAAAUUUUGAAGUUGUGGACUCUAGGCAGCAGGUAGAUAAAGGGCUGUCGAUGAGGAGAAGGUUGUAGUUUCUUCCAGUGGCUGGACCAGGCCCCUCUGGCUAAGGUGCUAGGACCUUCAAUCCUGCUAAGAGAAGACUGUCCUACAUUCUCUUUGAAGUUGCCCCAUCCCCUGCCCCACACUUAGCUCUUGCCUAACCUACGUGAGGCUCAGGGAUGAGCUCUGCAGAGGGAGACUACAUGGCUCUGCCCCUACCCACUGUGCUCUGCUGCUUCUGGCUCUUCUAGGGCCCAGGCAGGGAAAGGAGAAGGACAUAGGUCUUUAUACUUGGCCACCAGUCACUGUUUCCAGGUUUCUACUGAUCUUCCAGUGCAUUUUGACAGGCUUCUUACCUCUGGCUCUUCCGUGGGGCCAUAUUCAUGAGACUUUCAGAGAUCUUCUCUGGGCCACUGUGUUGUUCCUUAAUAUGAGCAACCUCCUCUUUAGACCCUUCUUCAGUUCCCACCCUAGCGUUGUUCCAUAUAGUAUUACUGCUGGCAUCCCCAGACUUUAGAAGACCACCUUGUUGGGUGGGGGACUCCCAGCAAGCUACUUCAAGCCAGGUUACCUUCCCCAGCAUCUGUUUGGCCCACAGAACACCAUGUAUCAUUGCUCCACCAAGUGGUGGAAAAAGAGCUUGCUCAUUCAUUUUCCCCAGUCCUUGCUCCAGCUCACCUCCUGCCAAGAAGAAGAUUUUAGUUUUUUUUCUCACAGGCACCCCUUAGAAGGGUUUUGUAUUAGUCUUUUUUCCAUUACUAUAAUGAGAUACCUGAGACUGGGUGAUUUCAUGAAGAGAAGAACUAUAUUGAACUCACAAUUCUGGAGGUUUAAGGGCAUGGGUGUGAUAAGGGCCUCAUGGCAGAUGGCAUUGCAGUGGCAGGAGUGUGGGGGAGAGUGAGAGAUCACAUCACAAGCCAGAAAGAGCAGAGGGGCCACUAAGCCCCAUAUCUGGAAGGUGUUGUCAUCUCUCACAUUGCCACACUUUGGCCCAAGAUCCCAAAACAUGAACCCUUGGUGGGGACGGCACUGAAACCAUUUCCAAACCAUGGCAGGUUCUUCCAGAAACUUCCUCCCUUGCAUUCAACUUUUCUUAUAUAAUGUACAGAGGUGGUCAGUGAUGGACCAGUUCUUUGUGCAUCCAGCAUGGAAGUGUCCAGAGCCUCUCUUUCAAAUACAUGGAUAUUUCAUACAGUUUUGAAGUGAUGGGUAAAAGUUCUAUUCAACUUCCUACAGCAUACAAACUCAUCAAAUACCAAGCUAAACUCUCCUUGUAGGGACACACAGAGUCUUCCUUGAUAUAAUGAGCCACCCAGGUUGAAAUUUCCAAUAUGUGAUGGCAAAACAAAACAAAACACACCCUGAAUAGAUUUAGGGAAAGGACCAUUUCAGAGUUGCAGGGAGUUUCCUCCCUAAGAUUCUGGACACAUGCUCCUCAAAGGAGGCAAAGUGCUUGUCAUUCCUGGAAGAGCCUUAAAGGGGACCCUUUGUUGACACCAGUGUAAAUGCAGAGAUUCACCUAAUGCUUUUGGGAGUCUUUCGGGAUUUUUAUUUUUAGGAAUUAUGGGUGCUUGGAGACAAAAGAUCUUUCUCUAUGUAUUUAUAAGUAUCCCCAGGCUUGUUCUGGUUAGUGGGUAAAUGUUUGUCUUUUUGCAGUUGCUGAUGGGAGGUCACUAGCUGGUACCUGUCGGACGCCUGAUCUCGUCUUAGCCCUGAGGAGCACAGCAGAAAGGGGAUCUCACUGUGCCAGGCAGUGGCCAGCAUAUGCCAAAUGGUGGCUGUCCUCCAGAGGGUGUUAUUGAAUACAGAACAACCCAUAUUUAUGGCACAUACUAGCAAUGAACCUACCAAUAUUAUGGUUGGUUUUGUAGGGGUUGGUGCAGGACUCAGAUCUCAAGCCUAACUGGCAGGAGUACCUCCCAUUCUGGGUCUCAGCCUUCUUAUUUUAGAAUGCUAGCAUGUAUGAGACCCUGGGUUCAAUCCCUAGCACCCCACCACCCCACAAAAAAGAAAAAGAAUGGACAAUUUCAUAGGUCCCUUUGCACAAAUCCUCCAAGAUUAUAAUAUUGGGAGCCCUGACUGGGCAUGGAGAGCAAAGGAGUCUAGCAAUCUGCCCUUGUCAGGGGGACCUCUGAAAUUAAAACUACCAUUCUUCUCAUCUUGUGUUCUCUGCUUCCAUUUCCAAAGCCUAAGCUGUCCCCAUACUUCCCCAGCCAAACUGCCCCUCUACCUUGACACUGUCCCCUAUAAACUAUCUUCCACCUCACCCAGUUCUACCCACAGGUACAACUUGUAUAUGUUAGUCAGCUUUGUGUCACUGUGACAAAAUACUUGAGGAAAAAAAUUACAGGAGGCAAAAUUUAUUUUGGUUCAUGGUUUUAGAGGUUUUAGUUCUUAAUUGUGGGCGUGUGGUAAGGCAGAGGAAGCAUGUGGCAGAAUAAAGAUACUUACCUGACAGCAGCCAGGAAGCAGAGAGAGAAGAAACAGCUGGGGACAAGCUAUCGUCCCCAAAGGCACAUCCCAAAGCACUGGCUCUCUUCAACUAGAUCACAUCACCGAUAAUUCCUUCAUCUCCCGAUAAUGCCAUCAAGUCACAAAUCCAACAAUGGAUAAAUACAUUGAUGAGGUUAAAGCCCUCAUGAUCCAAUCACUUCUCCAAAUUUCCACCUCUGAACAUUGCUGCACUGGGGACCAGGACUUUGACAUAAGUCUUUGACAAAAGUCUUCAUAUUCAGACCAUGACACUGUAUCUCUGGAACUGCCACUCAAAAGCCAGCAGAUGUCCCCACAUCUUCAGCCCUUCCUGGAAGGUUUUGCAUCCCCAGCCUCUUCCUCUGACUCUGAGCUUGCUCACAGCUGGGGAGCUGUGGGAAAGGGCUCUUUACUCUCCACUGCUUCUCCACCAUUAUGUCCCCGCCUUCUUGUAAAUCCCCUGUUGUGGUGGCCUCUUUCUCUCCCUUGCUCCCACCUCUUGACCUCCAGAUCACACAGUCCGAUUCAUCUAAAACUCCUGCCUGGUUCAGUCACCCCUUCUCCUCCAGAGCUGCCAUCCUCAUAGGAAAAUCCCUCUCCACCUCCAAUUCUUAAAGACAUUUCUGGCAUAUAAAUGAAAAGAUGAAUGGCCCUCUAACUCAGACGUCUUGCCUUCUGACCACUGCAUUCCAUCUUGGUCUCUUUGUCUCAUUCCCAACUGACCUAGCCAUCGAGGGUUGCCACAGCAAAAUAUCAUAAGACAUUUCCUUAAAACCAGAAAUUUAUUUUCUCAAAGUUCUAGAUGCUAGAAGUCCAAAAUCAGGGUGCAGCAUGAUUAGGUUCUGGUGGGGGCCCCCUUCCUGGCUUGCAGAUGGCCACCUUCUCUCUAUGCCCUCACACAGACUUUCCUGGGUGCAUGUGCAAGGAAAGGAAUUUUUCUCUCUUUUUUUAUGAGGCCACUAAUUUCAUCUGGAGGAUCCCACUCUUAUCUAUGACCUUAUCUAACCUUAAUUAACUCCCCAUGGUCCCAUCUCCAAAUACAAGAACAUUGGGGGUUAGGGUUUUGAUAUGUGAAUUUGGAAGCAGGGGAAGAUACAAGCAUUCUUCCUAUAACACUAUCUUUGGUUUCAUUGGGGCCCUCUGGUCUGCUGACCCUUUGCUUUCUCCCUACCUCUCUCUGUCCUCUCUACUCAGAUGAGAGAAUGGAGCCAACCUUUUAAUUUCUAUCGAGAGAGAGCAUUUCCAUCUCUGGCCCUACACUUUAGUUCUUUUACCCUGUGGUUGUUUCCCACUAGCAAAACCACAGCAGCAUAUAAGCUCAAUUAUCUGCCUGCUCUUUCUCUGCACCCCCGACCACUGGUCAUUGCUAGAGAGUCACAUGCUGGGCAAGUCUAUUUUCCAUGGAUUCAUGGUUGCCAGCCUCAACCAGAUCUGUAAGGGCCCAGGACCCCUAGCUAGCUUGCUUUCCAUCUCCAAUGGCCAUUUCUAACCUCCACUGGGUGUGCUUCCCAUCCUCCACUUCCUCACUGAAAGCACCUUCUCCUCCUUUUAGAAAUAGGGAGCCACCAUGUGGCCAUUCCCUAGACUGCCCACCACCUAAUCUUUCACCUGCCCCUCAAUGUUCCCUGCUGCUGCAUGAAGGGAACCAUCGUGCACAGAGAUGGCAGUGACACCACUAAGGGCAAGGCCCUUUCCUCUGCUCCCCCCUCCAACCCCCCUCCCAGACCUGGGAGCUGCUGAAGGCAGGGCCUUUUCCUUAUCAGUCUCUCUUCUCUAUGACCCCCCAUCUUAGGCAAGGGGUCUGGGCAAUCAGGCAAGUUUGUGGGGACCUCUGAAUUGAAUUUGCUUUUGCCCCCAACUUUCCUUUGAGGUGAGAGAUUUCAGCUCCUGAAGUUUCUCCUGAUCCCACUGGUCUGAUGAGUCAUUGGCUCUCAAUCAAGCCAGGAUCACCACUGGCCAGAGAGUCCAGGCCACUUGCCUACAGAGGGGCCUGGGACAGGCCUUGACAGUCAUCUGUAUUGGGACUGGGAAAUGUCUAGCUUCCAAGUUCCCAGGACAUGGCCAGGGUCUUCCUGGUGCUGACCUUUCCCCUGCAGGUGGAAGUGGUGGCCUCCCCAGUGCCUGGUUGCUUCCCUCCUCAGAGAUUUCAGCAAUGAGGACCAUCAGUCCUGAGCAUUCAGCCCAGGUGAGUGGAAAGACCCUGAUAUUUACUAACUUUCUCAGUCUCUGAUCAAGAAAAAAAAAAUGACCUCAUGAUUUUUAAGUAUAGAUAAUUAACAUCUGUUGCUAGUAUGAGUAAACUCACAUGUGUAAGAAAUAGUAUGUUUCUUUGGAUUAUGCACUUCUGCCUCACUGAGCUGAUGGAACAUUCUGUCCAGAGACUGGGCCAAAAGACGGGGGUCUGUUAUAACCAGAACAAAGGGGACUCCUCACCCUGGUCAUCAGCCUCAUGGAAGACUGGUAGGUGCCACCUGCUUGGUCCCUUUGGCCCUAGCAGUGCUGCUAGGGGAAUUCAGAGGAGGCUAAGGGGACUAGGACCAGCCGUUCAGGUGACCCACAGACAUCAGGGAGGCCUGGUAAAAGAGGGAGGAUUGCAGUGACUGCCCCAACACAGGAAGACUGAAGCCAGAAGUAAAUCUCAAAGUCACUGGAGGGAGGUUUCCCCGUGAUUAAUAUUUCAAUGGCUUUCCUCAAAUAUAGGGAAAUCUUCAAAAAGUGUUUUUAAUGUAUUUUGGUGCCCCAGUUUUGCCAGCAUCCGGAGUACAUGCUGUGUUUCCGAUCAGGGAAUCAAGCAGCCCUGGAUUUCAGCCUUCCUUGCUGUUCCUGUCUCUCUGGGCCCUGUGCUGGGCAGUGGGCAGUGGAGAGAGCAGGGCACGUGGGGGCGAUGUCCUGCUUGGCUCAGACUGUUCAGAGAUACCAAGCUUCUCUUCUUCAGCAAGGGUUCUUCAAUUCCCCUGUAGGGCCUGCCUCCUAAUGGGCCCUAUGCUGAUUCCCCACCCAUACUCCACACCAAGAUUAGAACCAUGAUCCCACAAACUGGCAGAGGAGGCUUCUGGCUCAUGGGAAAGUGGUUCAGAGACAGGUGGCUCUGACCAAGACUGGUUGGCUGGGGUGUGUCCCAGACAGAGCAGAGGUGUUGGGGGCAGGGACAAGCUGUUCCCAGCUGUGGGAUCAGGAAGGCUUGAAGGACAGCUGACAACCAAGUGGUAUCUCGACAGAUGGGAGAAUUUCCCUCAGUGGAGGUAGGGCCCUCCUGGGAGGGUGGACGUUGCAGGUACAGGAAAUACUUUGCACAAAGCCACAGAGCUGGUUCAUGUGCACAAUCUGUCUUGUCCCAUUCUGUCCCUAGGGGCUGUGCCAGUUGUGCCCCUGGAAUAGAAUGCUGCCCUCACCAUUCCCAGCCCACCCUCUCCACCCCAUUAUGACACUAUCCCUUAGCCACCGAUGGAACCCAAGGGUUCCGCUCCCAAGGGUCUGGCUGGCCUGGACUGUGGUCAGGUGGGCCCUGGCUUUGGCUGUGGUCCUAUCUCCAGGGAGGAGGGCCUGGGAGGGUGUGGAGGGUGUCAAUUAUGAUAACACCUGGCAGUUGUGGGGCCAUGUUUUCAGCGCAGAUGUGGACAGGAGCCUGCCUGGGCCUGUUCGGCUGUGGGGAGUCUGUGGAAAGAGCAGGCUGCCCUCACGGAAAGCGUGAGUUCUCAGGCGUGGCAUCUGGCCAUUUCCCGUCCUCAGGUGGAGUGCUCCUCCUGGCCAUACCUCUUCUAGGCCUCAGCUUCCUUUGUAUGUUGAGAGCCAAUUGCCUGGGGCCUGCCCACCUGGCAGAGGACUGUUGGGAUCAGUUCAGGGAGGGGGGCUCUGGGGCCUUGCAGACUAUCAGCCUCUGUGGGUAUUCAGGUGGUGCGAGGGAACACUGAAAGGGACCCUGCAUCAGGAAGCUGGGACAGCUGGGGCUGUUUAGAAACCAGAUCUGUUAGGUUCCCUCCUGGUUUCCCUGGGCAGUCUCCUUCACCCACCUCCUCCCCCCUGGUCUCCACCCAGUGCCUUGGUUUUCUAUGGUCCCUGUAACACACUCACACUUGCUAGCUUAAGACAACACACAUGGAUACUUUAUAACACCAGGCUCUAGUCAAGGGGUCAACAGGGCUGUACUCCUUUCUGGAGGCCCUAGGGGAGACUAUUUCCUGACCUUUUCCAGCUUCUCCAGGCUGCUGCCUUCCCUGGCUCAUGGCCACCUUCCAUCUUCAAAGCCAGCAAUGGCCAGUGGAAUCUUUUGAAUGCUGCCUCUCUCUGAUUCUGACCCUCCUGCUGCUUCUUCCACAUACAUGGGACCCCAAGAUUACCUUGGGCCCCCUUGGCUAAUCCAGGAUAAUCUCUUUGUUUUAAAAUCAGACCAUGAGUAACCUUAAUUUCAUCUUCAGCUUCAGUCCCCUUGUCACGUAAGUUGACAUAUUCACGGGUUCUGGGGACUGGGAUGUGGACAUCUUUGGCAUGAUCAAUCCCCAGCCAACUAACUCCACUCCUAUAUCCAGGCAUGUGCGCUCUCUGCUCCUCCUUCUAUUCUUAUUGAUAUCAAGGAAUUCCAGACUCUGGGGCUGGGAAGGAGAUGUAGACAGUGAAAAAGGAAAGAAUGAUGCCAGGCGCCUCAUGUUGGCAAAAAUAAGAAAUAGCAUGACCCAUGCCGAAGCAGAGUGGCUCCUCAGUCUGACGAAGUGGACCCUGUACAGCUUUACCAUGUGGGCAUACCAUCCCAUUGGCCAGAAUUUACAAAGAAGAUGCUGAAUUUAUGGGAAAUCUGUGAGCAGCUAAUUCACUCUGUAAGCCAGAGAGAGGCAUCCAUGGGGACUAGCCAAAGGACAGGUGUCUGCAGGCUGGAUUUGUCCAGUGGGCAACAAGCUGGAGACAUCUUGCCUGGAUUAUGGAAUAGAAGAGUCAUGGUCUGGGAGGGAGGCAGCCUUCUAGUGUGGCUGGUAGGAAACUAGGGGGAAAGGGAUGUGUACUUGAGUGUGUGUCCAAGCAGAGAGCGAACUCCUCUCCAUUCCUGUCUACUCUGUCCCAGAGUAGAGUGCAGGGCUUACUGUGGCUCCUGAAAGUGAUCCUAGCCAUAGCUGGGAUGAGCAGGGUAGCAUGGUAACAUGCUAGGUGAGGACCACAUGAGGGCUGAUGACCAGAUUGGGCCACUCUUCAAGGGCCAGGCUUAAGGGGAUAGAUUUGGUGUGUGCAGCUUGGUCUUCCUACAGCUUCUCACCCUCUGGCCCCACAACUGUGCAAACCCCAGCCAGGCAAGAGCCCCUGGGUCUCAGCCAAGACCCUUCUUGAAAGACCUUUCUGGAGAAACCUUCCUGGAUGACAGAGAGUCUGCAGGGAGAUUGACAGAAAUGAGAGGAAGAGAUGCCCAAGUUCAUCAUCUGAACUCUGUCUCUGUGUAUCUUAUUCAGUACUCAAGAAACAAGUUUCUAUUAAACUAAAGGCCAGAGCACAGGACAAGUAUGAACACAUGUAAGGAUGUCCCUUCAGAGGACCUGGCCUGACAUUAUAGGUGUUCAGCCUCCAUCAGAAUAAAAAGAAACAACAAGGACAGAGAUGGGACAGUGUCCCAUCAUACCCAUGAAAUGACCAAAAAUCAAUACAAACCAUAAAGCCCAGGGCUAGUGGGAUUGUAAGGAAACACAGUCACAAACAGCUGUAGAAUGAAAUAGUUUUCUCCUUUUGGGUGACACCUGGACAUAAGGUAUAAGGGUAAUCAACUAGUCCCAAUUCUUGGACACAAGCCCCGGGACAGAGAGCCCUCUGCACAAUGAUGGGUACAAAAGAGUUACCUAGAAUCCCGAGAAGACAAUGUGGAGACCCGGAUGCUCAGCAGCAUGACAAAGUAAACAAUGCCUUGAUGAAAACUGCAGCCAGUAACGAGGUCAUUGUGAGAUGAGUUCAGGCUGUGGAAAAUACAGAGAGCAAGGAAGAGCAGGCAAAGGCUCACAGGACGCCCUAAAUGACAGAUGUCCCUGCCAUCUCCAUCCAUCUCCAUCAGAGGACAAGCGUUCCUGCAGAAAGGAUGAGAAUGUGCAUUUUAGGAAAGGGUCCUUGUGCACCUGCGAACCCUUCGCCCAACCAAAGAACCAGAGCAUUACUAAUGACUUACACCCACCUCUUCCCCAAAUCUUCCCUCCUCCCCCAAGAGGUGAUUACCCUGAAUUUCAUCCUUGCUGUCAAAAAAUUUGCAAAGCAUACCUAGACCACAUCUAGCUUUGCUUGCUUUGGAACUUUAUAAAAAGCUCAAACACCCAACUGGUUUUUAGACUCCUCAUGUUAAUAGAUGGAGCUGAGGCUUAUUCAUUUUCACUGCUGUAUUUCACUAUGCAAAUAUAUCACAAUUGAGGCCUUCUGCUCUUGAUGGGCAUUUGAGCUCUUUCUCCCCACGCCCUUAUUUGAAAUGCGUCAUGGACAUUUUUGUUCUUAUGAAUGAAAAAUAGAUUCUACCCAGUCAGUAUUGUUAAACUCUCAAGUUUUGUCAUCAAAUCAGUGUAAAGAUCUUAUGGAUUUGCUUUCCCCUCAUUGUUAUUGAGCUUGAGCAUCUCUUUCUAUGAUUGCAGGUCACAUGAACUUCCUCUUCUUGAAAUGCCUGUUCAUGGCUCUUGCCCAUUUUACUAUCAUCAUAGUCUUAUUGAUUUGUGGAGGUUCUUGACAUAGGCUGAUCUCCAUCCUUAUUAGUUUGUGUGUAUACAAGUAGCUUCUCCCAGUUGUGGCUUUUUUUUUUUUCUACUUUUAAGAUUUUCCUUUUUAAGUAGUGGGAUUCAUUUUUAAAUUUUAUUGUUAGCAUAAAAUAGCAUGUCCUGAUUCAGAAAAUCCUUCCGCAUCCAAAAGUCAGAAAAACAUUCCUCUGUAUUUUCUACUGAAAGUAUUCGUCUUGAAACUUAAGUCCUUAAUAGAAUUGGAAAUUUUAUGACAUGAAGAAUCCAAUUUUAAUUAUUUUUAUUUUAUUUUAAUUAUCUAUAUCUGUCAUUCCACUUUUUCUGUUUCAUAUGUUGAAACUUUGCCAAGAUAUAUUUCUGGGAUUUCCAUUUAGCUGUUCCUCAGUUAAUACUACAUUGUCUGUAAUUAAUAUAACUAUAACAAAUUUGUAUAAUUUUUAUAAUUUUGAUAAUGAUGGUAAAUAAUUCCUCUUUAACAUUCUUUAGAAUUCGCUUAGGUAUUAAUACACUUUCUUUUUUCCAUAUAAAUUUUAGAAACAUCUUGCCAAAUGAUUUUUUGAAAAAUACUAUUUGGGUUUUUAAAAUUUUUUUUUUACAUUUUGAGUUUGACUAGAGUUUUAGUGAAUCUGUAGAUUAAUAGAGGGAAAAAUUAACAGCUUUUAUUUAUGACCAUCAGCUAUCUUUUAUUUUUCUUCCUUAUCACAUUCCUAUAGAUUUAAUUUUAUACUCAGGUCUUGAACAUACUUAAGUCAUUUUUUAAAAAUUGUAGUAAAAUGUACACAGCAUAAAAUUGACCACCCAUUUAUUGAUUGGGUUAUUUGUUGUUGUUGUUGUUGUUUGGUGUUAAGGUUUUUGAGUGCUUUAUAUAUCCUGGAGAUUAGUGCUCUAACUGAUGUGCUUGUGGUAAAGAUUUGCUCCUAUUCUGUAGGCACUCUAUUCACCUCACUGAUUGUUUCUUUUGCUGAGAAGAAGCUUUUUAGUUUGAAUCCACCCCAUUUAUUGAUUCUUGGUUUUAAUUCUUGUGCUAUAGGAGUCUUAUUAAGGAAAUUGGGGCCUAAUUUGACAUGAUGGAGAUUUGGGCCUACUUUUUCUUCCAUUAGGUCCAGGGUCUCUGGUUUAAUUCCUAUGUCCUUGAUCCACUUUGAGUUGAAUUUUGUGCAUGGUGAAAAAUAGAGGUUUAAUUUCAUUGUGUUACAUGUGAAUUUCCAGUUUUCCCAGCACCAUUUAUUGAAGAGGCUAUCUUUUCUCCAAUAUAAUUGGUUUUUGGUGCCUUUGUGUAAUAUGAGAUAACUAUAAUUAUGUGGGUUUGUCUCUGUAUCCUCUCUUCUGUACCAUUGGUUUACAGGUCUAUUUUGGUACCAAUAUCAUGCUGUUUUUGUUACUCUUGCUCUGUAGUAUAGUUUAAUGUCUGGUAUUGUGAUGCGCCUCCUGCUUCACUCUUCUUGCUAAGAAUUGUUGGUAGGCUUCGGAUGGUGUCCUCUAUUUUCUUGCUUAAAAUUGAUCUGUUUAAAUUGUGUAUAUCAUCCGAUUUAGUUUGGGCAUAUCAUAUGCCUCUAGAAAUUUGCUGAUGCCUUUGAUAUUUUCUAUUUUAUUGGAAUAUAAAUUUUCAAAAUAAUUUCUAAUUCUCUUCUGUAUUUCUUUAGUGUGUAUUAUGAUAUUUCCUUUCUCAUCAUAUGUAUGUUAGUAAUUUGAGUUUUCUGUCUCCUCUUCGUUAGCAUGGGUAAUGGUUUAUCAAUUUUAUUUAGUUUUUUAAAGAACCAACUUUUUGUUUUGUCAAUUUUUUCAAUUGUUUCUUUUGUUUUGAUUUCAUCUCAGAUUUUAAUUAUUUCCUGUCUUCUGCUGCUUUUGGGUUGAUUUGUUCUUCUUUUUCUAGGGCUUUGAGAUGUAAUGUUAGGUCAUUUAGUUUUUGACUUUUUUUUUCUUUAAAGGAAUGAACUCCAUAAAAUGAAAUUCCUCUUAAUAUUGCCUUCAUAGUGUCCCAGAGAUUUCGAUAUGUUGUAUCAGUAUUCUCAUUUACCUCUAAGAAUUUUUUAAUCUCCUCUUUCAUAUCUUUUGCAACCCACUGUUCAUUAAAUAGCAUAUUAUUUAGUUUCCAGCUGCUGGAGUAACUUUUAUUUUUUAUUUUAUCCUUGAUUUCUAAUUUCAUUCCAUUGUGGUCUGAUAGAACAUAGAGUAGUAUCUCUACUUUUUUAUAUUUACUAAGAGUUGCUUUGUGGCAUAAUAUAUGGUCUAUUUUAGAGAAGGAUCCAUGUGCUCCUGAAAAGAAAGUAUAUUCAUUUGUGAAUGGACAAUAUAUUCUGUAUAUGUCAGUUAAGUCUAAGUUAUUGAUUGUAUUAUUGAGUUUUAUAGUUUCUUUGUUUAGCUUUUGUUUGGAAGAUUUAUCCAGUGAUUAAAGAGGUGAUUUAAAGUCACCCAGAAUUAUUGUGUUGUGGUCUAUUUGACUCUUGAUCUUGAGAAGAGUUUGAUGAACAUAGAUGCUCCAUUGUUUGGGGCAUAUAUAUUUAUAACUGUUAUGUCUUGUUGAUGUAUGGUUCCCUUAAGCAGUAUGAAAUGUCCAUCUUUAUCCCUUUUGAUUAACUUUGACUUGAAGUCUACUUUAUUUGAUGUGAGGAUGGAAACCCCGGCUUGUAUAUGCAGAACAUGUGAAUGGUAUAUUUUAUCCCAACCUUUCACCUUCAGUCUGUGGAUGUCUUUUCCUAUGAGAUGAGACUCUUGAAAGCAGAAUAUUUUGGGUCUUUUUUUAAAAAGUCCAAUAUACCAGUCUGUCUUUUGAUUGGUGAGAUUAGGCCAUUAACAUUUAGGGUUAUUAUUGAGACGUAACUUGUAUUUCUGGUAAUUUCUGUAUUUAACUUGACUUGGUUUCUCCUUUGGUUGGCUUUUCUUUUAUUAUAGUUCUUUCCUUUGCAGAUUUUCAUUGUUAUUUUUCAUUUCCUCCUUGUGGGGUAUUUUGCUAAGAAUGUUCUGUAAUGCAGGCUUUUUUGCGGUAAAUUCUUUUAGCUUUUGUUUACCAUGGAAGGUUUUUAUUUCAUCAUCAAAUCUGAAGCUUAAUUUUGCUGGAUAUAAGAUUCUUGGUUGGCAUCCAUUAUCUUUCAGAGCUUGGAAUAUGUUGUUCCAGGAUCUCCUGGUGUUGAGGGUCUGGGUUGAAAAAUCUGCUGAGAUCUGAAUUGGUCUUCCCUUAUAAGUAAUAUGAUUUUUCUCUCUUGUGGCCUUGUAUCUUGGCAUAGAUCUGAUGUAAUUGUGUACAUUUGGUGUCCUAUAGGCCUCCUGUAUUUGAUUUUCUAAUUCAUUCUUCAUGCUUGGGAAAUUUUCUGAUAUUAUUUCAUUGAAGAGAUUGUGCCUUCCUUUGGUUUGAAUCUCUGAACCUUCCUCUAUCCCAGUAAAUCUUAAAUUUGAUCUUUUAAUGGUAUCCCAUAAUUCUCGGAUAUUCUGUUCAUGGUUUCUUACCAUCUUCACUGUGAGGUCAACUUUAUUUUCAAGAUUGUAUAUUUUGGGGCUGGGGUUGUGACUCAGUGGUAGAGUGCUUGCCUACCACAUGCGAGGCUGUGGGUUCAAUCCUCAGCACCACAUAAAAAAUAAAUAAAUAAACAAGAUCCCUUGCAAGAAGAAAUCAUAAGGGAAAUUUUUAAAAAUUUGAAAAUGAGUAAUAAUACAAUUACCACAUGUCAACUACAACUGAAAAAUCAAUAUUAAAAAAAAGAUUUUAUAUUUUGUCUUCAUUGUCUGAGGCCCUAUCUUCUACUGAUAGUGUAUUUCUGGUAAUUUUUUGUUUAUUUUUGGUAUUUAACUUGACUGGGUUUCUCCUUUGGUUUUUUAACUUGAUCUAGUCUGUUGGUGAUGCUUUCUAUUGAGUUUUUUAUUUGGCUUAUUGUUUCUUUCAUUUCAAGGAUUUCUGUUUUUUUUUUUUUUCAGAAUCUCUCUUUCUUGAAGUAAUCUCUUGCUACCUAUAUUUGCUCUCUUAUCUUUUUGUUGGUGUGAUCUAUGGUCACCUGUAUCUAUUCUCUUAUUUCUUCAUUGGAGUGAUCGAUUUUUGCCUGUAUUUGCCCACUUAGGUCAUUCUUUAAUUCCCAGAUCAUUUUAGUUAUGUAUAUUCUGAACUCCUUCUCUGACAUUUUAUCUACUGCACUAUCUAUGGAUUCUAUGGUUGUAGUAUCUUGGUUUGUUUGGGGCACUUUUCUUCCUUGUUUUUUCAUGAUGUCUAUGUGUCUUCCUCUCUUGCAGUGUAGCUCCAAGGUAUUACAGCUUCUGCCCUAUUAUCUUAUAGUGUCCUUACAGAUUACCAAGACCUCACCUUUAAGGGGGAGAUCAAUAUUACAGCAUUCAAUGUACCCAACAUGCAGCUAUAGAUCCGUUAGCUUCUAUUUUUACAUGUACAGUUUUGUAGCUACAAUCAGAAAUGAUGAAUUUGGUUAUCUUCUACCAUAUAGUCAACAGAUUUGCAUAAUGGUUUACAGUUUCUAAUGGUAGAAGGGGGACUGGGGGGGUUGACUGAGAUGUUUAUGAGUAGGAUGUGAGAAUAAAGAGGUAUUAGAUUAUGUGAUUAGUGAGAGGGUAGUCAUAAGAAGUUGGCUGUUAGUAGGAGAAACAAGAGACAGGCAACCCCGUGCAAGACUCCCUGUUACCUUAGCAACAGGAUAACUAUUAUCACCCUUGGUAGAGAUAACCUCUGGUGCAGCCAGGCCCACAGGGACCUUGGUGAUGUCUUACCAGGUCCUUAUUGUUGUCCCUUGAUAGAAGUGGCAAUAUCCCAGUUUUUUAUAUAUAGGCAGCCUCAAGCCUAUGUGUACCCUAAUGUUGGGCUGUAGAGCCACGCUUUGGUGAAUAAGGAACACCAGCGUGGGGUGGGCCUCUCCGUGCAGGCACAGGACAUGUUUCUCUCCUGGUUGCCAGACCAUGCAGACUUUCUAUUUCUUUAAGCCUUAUAGAAUCUAACAAUCUGUUUUGAUUAAUUUUGUUUUAGGAAUUCAAUUUGCCUAAGUUUUCAUAUGUCUUAGCAUAAAGUUAAUAUUAGAAUUCAGUUAAUAUUUUAAAUUUUGCUGUAUUUGGAUAUUAUUUUUGUAUAUAUAGAAGACUCACUUGUACCUUUUUAUUUUUUUAAUAUAACUUUAGAGGUUUGUCUAUUUUAUGAAUCUGUUGAAGAACCAAGAAUAGGAUCUUUUUGAUCCUCUUAUUAUAUAUUUUUUUCAAUUUCCUUUAUUUUUGUCUUAACCUUAUUAUCUCCUUUACUUAGUUUGAAUUUAUUCUUUUGUUAUUUUUCACAAAGUGCCACUUUUUAUUACCAUCCACAACUUUUGACAUGUGGAAAUUAUAUUAUUACUCAUUUGCAAUUUUUUAAAAUUUCCACUAUGAUUCCUUCUUGCAAGGGAUCUACAAGAUUUUUUUUUUACUUAAAAUAUAUAGAGAUAUCUAUAUCUAUAGUUCAUGUCCAUGGACUGAACUACUCCUCUUGUUAAAAUGGUGAUUCUUCCCUGCUGACUUAUAGAUUCUAUACAGUCUCAAUCAAAAGCACAGCAAGUUGUUCUAUAGAUAACAAACUGGUCCUAAAUUUCACAUAGUAAAUCAAAAAACCUAGGAAAGCCAACUUAAUAGUGAGGAACAACCAAGUUAGAUGACUCAAAACUACCUGAUGUCAAGACUUACUACUAUAAAGCCAACACAGUCAAGAUUGUAUGGUAUUGAGAGUACAUACAUAGAUUUCUGGGACAGAAUGGACCCAUGCAAGUAUAGUCCACCAGUCUUUGACAAGACACAAAAGCCAUCCAAUAGAGAAAGGGCAGUCAUUUCAAUAAAUGGUAGUGGGAUAAUUGGAAGAACCCCCGUAAAAACAUUAACAUAGAUAGAUGCUAUGGUAGUGGGAUAAUUGUGGAAGUACCUAUGUAAAAAUAUUAACAUAAUUAGAUAGAGAUUUUAUACUUUGUUAUAAAAAUUAACUAAAAUUGGAUCAGAAAGCUAAAUGUAAAACAAAAUAUAAAACUUUGAGAAGAAAACAUAGCAGAAAAUAUAGAUGACCUUGAGUUCCCCAAUGAGGUUUUAUUUUUUAAUUUUUUGAAAAUAUAUUUUAGUUGUACAUGGACUCAGUAUCUUUAUUUUGUUUAUUUAUUUUUAUGUGGUGCUGAGGAUUGAACUCAGUGCCUCACACAUGGGAGGCAAGCACUUUACUGCUGAGCCACAACCCAGCCCCAACACAAUGAGGUUUUAGGAGAUAACACCACCAAAGACAGAAUUAAAGAAAAUGUAGAUAAUUUAGACUUUAUUAAAGUUAAAAACUUCUGCUCUGCAAAAGACACUGUUAGAAAAAUGAAAAUGCAGGUCACAGGCUGGGAGAAAAUGUUUGGGACAUUCCUGAUAAAGGACUUAUAUAAAAAUGUACAAAGACUUCAAAACUCAAAUUUAAAAAUGGGCAAAAGAUCUGAAGAGAUAAGCCAUCAAAGCAGAUUACAGAUGGUAAAUAAGCAUAUGAAAAGACAGUCAACAUUAUUUGUCACUAGGGAAUGCAAUUUACUACACAAUAAGAUACCACCAUACCAGUUUCUGGUCUGGAACCAAAGCAACAUGAAUGCUUAUUCAUUGCUGGUACAAAUGCAAAGUGGUACAGACAGUUUGGAAGACAGUUGGCAGUUUCUUAACGAAGUUAAACAUACUCUUGCCAUAUGAUCCAGCAUUCAUGAGAUAUUCACCCAACUGCUUUGAAAAUUUAUGUCCACACAAGUUUUUGUAUUUAUACAGCUUUAGUCACAAUUGCCAAACAGUGGAAGCAACCAAGAUGUUCUUCAAUAGAGACGAAAGGGUGAGAAAACUCUGUGAUACACGGAUAUGAAAGAGGAGUAUUCAGUGAUUUUCUAAAAGUGCUAUUAAGCCACAAAAAACAUGGAUAAACCUUAAAUGCAUAUCACUAAAUGAAAGAAGCCAGUCUGCAAGGACUGAUGACAUUGUGGAAAAGGCAAAGUAUGCAGUAAAACUUAAGUAAUUGCCAGGGGUUUGAGAAGGGGAAAGGAGUUGAAUAGGCAGCAUAAGGGGUUUUCUACAAAAGUAUCUUACAAAAAUAUCACAAGGGCUGUGAUACUUUUGUAGGAUAUUUUUUUGGGGGGUACUGGGGAUUAAAUCCAGGGACACUUAACCGCUGAACCACAUCCCCAACCCAUUUUAUUUUUUAUUUAGAGACAGGGCUUGCUAAGUUACUUAGGGCCUCGCUAAAUUGCUGAAGCUGGCUUUGAACUCGUGAUCCUCCUGCUUCAGCCUCCUGAGCUGCUGCUGUAUGAUAGUUUAACGGUAGAUAUAUCACCCUUUGCAUUUGCAAAGCCCAAAGGGUAAAACUUUUUGUUUGUUUGUUCUUUUUACUUAUAUAUGGCAGUAGAAUCAAUUUUGAUAUAUUCAUACAAGCAUGGAAUAUAUGUUAUUCUAAUCAGGAUCCCAGUCUUGUGGAUGUACCAAUGUUGAGAUUUACUGGUGUAUUCAUAUAUGUACAUAGGAAAGUUACGUUAGAUUCAUUCCAUUAUCUUCCUAUUCCUAUUCCCCCAUCCCUUCCCUUCAUUCCCCUUUGUUUAACCCUCUGAACUUUUAUUACCCCUACCCCCCAGGGUGAACCUUAAUAUAUACAAAUUUUUACAAAAAUCAUUGAGGAGGUGGGGAAACCCUAGGAUGGAGUUGCAGAUUGUGACAAAUGAAUCUUAACUGUAUUUCAAAAGUAUAAAAAAUACAUACAAAUUUUAAAUCAAGCUCUUAAACUGUUUUUGACUUCUAAUUUAAUUGCACUGUUUCAGAAGACAGGUCUAUAUAUACUUUGAAAUUUGUUGAAGCUUGUUUUAUUGCCUACUACAUAAUAAAGUUUUGUAAAUGCUCCAAAUAACCUGAGGGAAAAAUUGUUUUCUCUAGUUAUUAGAUGAAGAAUUUUAUAAAUGACUAUUAGGGUAAAGCUUUCCAAUAAUGUUAUUCAAUCUAUAUAUUUGACCUCUUGAAAGAGAUGCAUUAAAAUCUCUCAUUAUUAUAUUGGAACUGUGUUUCUCCUUUUCUACGUAUUACUGUAUGAAGUCUUUGAAAACAUUUAUUAGGCCAGAUAUUUUAAAAAUUAACAGUCUUGGUGAAUGAACAUUUAUCUUUAGGUAGUGAAUCUCUCUAUUCCAAAUGAUGCUGUAUCUUGACGUUUAUUUUGUUUGCUAGUAAAAGAGGUACAUCAGCUGACUUUUGAUUCAUGUUUGCCCAAUAUAAUUUUUUUCCAUGCUUUUACUCCCUGCCUUUUCAUGACCUUGUUUUUACGUGUGUCUUACAGGGU